GGGGUUGUAGCUCAGAGGUAGAGCACUUGUCUAGCAUGCGUGAGGCCCUGGGUUCGAUCCUCACUCAGCACCA
Molecule: transfer RNA, 73 nt
Filed under: Ictidomys tridecemlineatus (thirteen-lined ground squirrel)
Lineage: Eukaryota; Metazoa; Chordata; Mammalia; Rodentia; Sciuridae
Description: Spermophilus tridecemlineatus (thirteen-lined ground squirrel) tRNA
Rfam family: tRNA
About the family: Transfer RNA (tRNA) molecules are approximately 80 nucleotides in length. Their secondary structure includes four short double-helical elements and three loops (D, anti-codon, and T loops).
Source: Rfam by way of RNAcentral